This 442-nucleotide ribosomal RNA is filed under the name uncultured bacterium. RNAcentral describes it as "partial 16S ribosomal RNA". It matches the Rfam family "Bacterial small subunit ribosomal RNA", at positions 338 to 795 of the family's 1533-position model. The record is from RNAcentral.
CCUACGGGUGGCAGCAGUGGGGAAUAUUGGGCAAUGGACGCACGUCUGACCCAGCACCGCCGCGUGAAGGAAGAAGGCUUUCGGGUUGUAAACUUCUUUUACGGGGGAAGAGCAGAAGACGGUACCCCUUGAAUAAGCCACGGCUAACUACGUGCCAGCAGCCGCGGUAAUACGUAGGUGGCAAGCGUUGUCCGGAUUUACUGGGUGUAAAGGGCGUGCAGCCGGAGAGACAAGUCAGAUGUGAAAUCCACGUGAUCAACCCGUGAACUUCAUUUGAAAAUGUUGCCCUUGAGUGUCGGAGAGGGAAUCGGAAUGCCGUGUGUAGCGGUGAAAUGCGUAGAUAUAAGGAAGAACACGAGUGGCGAAGGCGGAUUACUGGACGAUAACUGACGGUGAGGCGCGAAAGCGUGGGGAGCAAACAGGAGUAGAUACCCGUGUAGUC